This 497-nucleotide ribosomal RNA is filed under the name uncultured bacterium. Its description in RNAcentral is "partial 16S ribosomal RNA". It matches the Rfam family "Bacterial small subunit ribosomal RNA", at positions 28 to 507 of the family's 1533-position model. The record is from RNAcentral.
GAUGAACGCUGGCGGCGUGCCUAAUACAUGCAAGUCGAGCGAACGGACGAGAAGCUUGCUUUUCUGAUGUUAGCGGCGGACGGGUGAGUAACACGUGGAUAACCUACCUAUAAGACUGGGAUAACUUCGGGAAACCGGAGCUAAUACCGGAUAAUAUUUUGAACCGCAUGGUUCAAAAGUGAAAGACGGUUUUGCUGUCACUUAUAGAUGGAUCCGCGCUGCAUUAGCUAGUUGGUAAGGUAACGGCUUACCAAGGCAACGAUGCAUAGCCGACCUGAGAGGGUGAUCGGCCACACUGGAACUGAGACACGGUCCAGACUCCUACGGGAGGCAGCAGUAGGGAAUCUUCCGCAAUGGGCGAAAGCCUGACGGAGCAACGCCGCGUGAGUGAUGAAGGUCUUCGGAUCGUAAAACUCUGUUAUUAGGGAAGAACAUAUGUGUAAGUAACUGUGCACAUCUUGACGGUACCUAAUCAGAAAGCCACGGCUAACUACGUG